CAAAUGGCAAAUAUCGGCACUAUUCACAAUAGCAAAGACAUGCAAUCAAUCUAGGAGCCCAUAAACAGUGGAUUGCAUAAAGAAACUGUGGUACGUAUGCACUAUGGAAUACUACACAGCCAUAAAACUGAAUGUAAUAAUGUCCUUUGCAGCAAUAUGGAUGCAGUUUCGGUCAUUAUACGAAGCAAACUAACACAGAAACAGAAAACAAAACAUCACUUGUUGUCACUUAUAAAUGUAGUGAGGUUUGCUACACAUAAAGAUAGCAAGAAC
This 273-nucleotide long non-coding RNA is filed under the name Pan troglodytes (chimpanzee). Its description in RNAcentral is "long non-coding RNA NONPTRT003180". The record is from RNAcentral. Lineage: Eukaryota; Metazoa; Chordata; Mammalia; Primates; Hominidae.